GCUUCCCCGGCCAAAUCCGGCCGAUCCGGCCACCAAUUGGACCGGGUCUUGUGUCUAAAAUCAUCUACUCGGCGAGAGCUUUCCAUAGACACCAAGAACGCCGAAAUCCAUCGAGCGGUUUGUCCGAUUUUUGCUCGGGAAGAUUUUAGCCCAUUUCGACUUUUGGGCUAGAUUUCUCGAAAACCGUGAAUCCCACGAGAAAACCGAGGCUACCAGCGCGCUCCACUCGUCGAGAGCUUCGCGGCGACAUAAAUUUCAAAUUUUUCCGACACCGUUUUUCGGUAUCCUCAAUUCGCGGAAAUUCGACAGUUGACCGGGUCUGCAAAUUUCGGGCCAGACAGACCCGUUACCGGAAAAGUCUCCGAAUUGGACCGAGGUUUUGGCUAGCCCCCCAUUGUCAGACGUCCCGAGCGCGUUCCCGAAGUCGGAAUCGGCAAAGGUGAGCCGGGACAGCCUUCUUCCUCCGCCCAGCCGCCACAGUGAUUGUCAUAAAGUCUGUGAGUAAAAUAUUAAUUUUAAUUGUAAUUUCACUAUUAUUAUAUGUUCAAGCAUGCUCAUGCAUCACUUA
This is a long non-coding RNA of Hevea brasiliensis (rubber tree), 568 nucleotides long. RefSeq lists it as uncharacterized. NCBI's taxonomy places the organism in Eukaryota, Viridiplantae, Streptophyta, Magnoliopsida, Malpighiales, Euphorbiaceae. The transcript is spliced from 3 exons. The record is from RefSeq and is a predicted model, not a curated record.